This 421-nucleotide ribosomal RNA is filed under the name uncultured soil bacterium. Its description in RNAcentral is "partial 16S ribosomal RNA". The record is from RNAcentral.
UAACUACGCCCAGUCAACGUAAGACUUACUGAAGGUGCGGCUAGGAGGUCUCAUGUCGACUUUGGGUGGGUGCUCUAGGCGGAUAAGCUAGUUGGUGUGGUUAGGCUUACCGGGCGAUGAUCGGCAUCCGGUCCUGAGAGAGAUGACAUGGCACCAACUACCUUGAGCAGCUGGAGAACCACCGGUUGCCCAGGAAAUUCCCUGAACGCGGCAGGUCGAGACAGAUGACGCGGGAAUUCUUGGCGACAUGAUGCGGGCCGUGGUAGCGCCCAUGAUUGCGUAGCUCAUCGCCACGGGCUGUAGGCGACGUGCAAUGUACAGUGUCCUCUGCUAGGGGAUCUGUAAAACGUCGCGUUUUCUGAUUACUGGUGGACAGAAAUGUAUUGAACGGGUAACGCCGAGCUAGUAAGUAGGCACCUCG